AUGAACGCUGGCGGCGUGCCUAAUACAUGCAAGUCGAGCGAACGGACGAGGAGCUUGCUUUUCUGAUGUUAGCGGCGGACGGGUGAGUAACACGUGGAUAACCUACCUAUAAGACUGGGAUAACUUCGGGAAACCGGAGCUAAUACCGGAUAAUAUUUUGAACCGCAUGGUUCAAAAGUGAAAGACGGUCUUGCUGUCACUUAUAGAUGGAUCCGCGCUGCAUUAGCUAGUUGGUAAGGUAACGGCUUACCAAGGCAACGAUGCAUAGCCGACCUGAGAGGGUGAUCGGCCACACUGGAACUGAGACACGGUCCAGACUCCUACGGGAGGCAGCAGUAGGGAAUCUUCCGCAAUGGGCGAAAGCCUGACGGAGCAACGCCGCGUGAGUGAUGAAGGUCUUCGGAUCGUAAAACUCUGUUAUUAGGGAAGAACACAUGUGUAAGUAACUGUGCACAUCUUGACGGUACCUAAUCAGAAAGCCACGGCUAACUACGUG
RNAcentral lists this ribosomal RNA (496 nucleotides) under uncultured bacterium. RNAcentral describes it as "partial 16S ribosomal RNA". It matches the Rfam family "Bacterial small subunit ribosomal RNA", at positions 29 to 507 of the family's 1533-position model. The record is from RNAcentral.